UUGAGCUUCCAGAGUUGAACUUGUUGUUGUGAGCUUUGUAUGGCUGUAUCUAAGAGCCAAAUUUCUUGUUGAGAGUGUGUUCUUGUUUAAGACCUGAAAUAAGUGUUAAAUUGAAUUGUUCUAACUAUUUAGAGUUGUGCAGUCUUCUUUUUGGUUGAUCUUUACAGGUAUAAAUGUUGUCCAGAAGUUGAAUUAUCAGUAGUUGCAACAGUGUGCAUAAUUGAUUAGUUGGAGCACGCCAAAAGCAGUCAUCUAAAUUGAAGGGAGUUUCUUCUACCUUCAAAUACUUUUACUGUGAUUGA
RNAcentral lists this long non-coding RNA (302 nucleotides) under Vigna radiata. RNAcentral's name for it is "long non-coding RNA (VRAD_LNC014727)". The record is from RNAcentral. Lineage: Eukaryota; Viridiplantae; Streptophyta; Magnoliopsida; Fabales; Fabaceae.